CUGAGUUGACCUGAUGGGAUCAACAUCCCCGAUGGCAAGUUCUACCUUGGAGAUGCUGGCUAUGCAUGUCGGCCGGGUAUUCUUCCACCCUUCAGAAAAACCAGGUACCAUCUCAACGAGUUCUCUGGUAAGAACUAUCCUAAGACUGCACAGGAGCUGUAUAAUCUUAGACACUCUAGCCUUAGAGUAACUAUUGAGAGGGCAUUUGGAGCUCUGAAGAAUAGGUUUAAGAUCCUGGAUUAGAAGUCAUUCCAUCCAUACUCCACUCAGGUUAAGUUUGUUCUUGCUUGUUGCAUUCUGCACAACUGGAUCCUCCAGUGG
RNAcentral lists this ribosomal RNA (321 nucleotides) under Triticum aestivum (bread wheat). RNAcentral's name for it is "partial small subunit ribosomal RNA". Lineage: Eukaryota; Viridiplantae; Streptophyta; Magnoliopsida; Poales; Poaceae. The record is from RNAcentral.